Molecule: ribosomal RNA, 119 nt
Organism: Oncorhynchus kisutch (coho salmon)
Lineage: Eukaryota; Metazoa; Chordata; Actinopteri; Salmoniformes; Salmonidae
Source: Ensembl
GCUUACGACCACACCGGAAUGAGUACGCCUGAUCUCGUCUGAUCUCGGAAGCCAAGCAGGGUCGGGCCUGGUUAGUACAUGGAUUGGAGACUGCCUGGGAAUACCAGGUGCUGUAAGCU